Molecule: ribosomal RNA, 245 nt
Filed under: uncultured bacterium
Lineage: Bacteria
Description: partial 16S ribosomal RNA
Rfam family: Bacterial small subunit ribosomal RNA
Source: RNAcentral
UACGUAGGGUGCAAGCGUUGUUCGGAAUUACUGGGCGUAAAGGGAGCGUAGGUGGGGUUGUAAGUUAGGAGUUUAAUACAUGGGCUCAACCCAUGAUUGGCUCUUAAGACUGCAAUUCUUGAGUAUGGGAGAGGGCGAUGGAAUUCCAGGUGUAGCGGUGGAAUGCGUAGAUAUCUGGAAGAACACCAGUAGCGAAGGCGGUCGCCUGGCCCAAUACUGACACUGAGGCUCGAAAGCUAGGGGAG